GACGAACGCUGGCGGCGUGCUUAACACAUGCAAGUCGAACGGAAAGGCCCUGCUUUUGUGGGGUGCUCGAGUGGCGAACGGGUGAGUAACACGUGAGUAACCUGCCCUUGACUUUGGGAUAACUUCAGGAAACUGGGGCUAAUACCGGAUAGGAGCUCCUGCUGCAUGGUGGGGGUUGGAAAGUUUCGGCGGUUGGGGAUGGACUCGCGGCUUAUCAGCUUGUUGGUGGGGUAGUGGCUUACCAAGGCUUUGACGGGUAGCCGGCCUGGGAGGGUGACCGGCCACAUUGGGACUGAGAUACGGCCCAGACUCCUACGGGAGGCAGCAGUGGGGAAUAUUGCACAAUGGGCGGAAGCCUGAUGCAGCAACGCCGCGUGCGGGAUGACGGCCUUCGGGUGGUAAACCGCUUUCGCCUGUGACGAAGCGUGAGUGACGGUAAUGGGUAAAGAAGCACCGGCUAACUACGU
Molecule: ribosomal RNA, 467 nt
Filed under: uncultured bacterium
Lineage: Bacteria
Description: partial 16S ribosomal RNA
Rfam family: Bacterial small subunit ribosomal RNA
Source: RNAcentral